GACCCCCUACGGGGCGCAGCAGUGAGGAAUAUUGGUCAAUGGGCGAGAGCCUGAACCAGCCAAGUCGCGUGAGGGAGUACUGCCCUAUGGGUUGUAAACCUCUUUUGUCGGGGAGCAAAAGACGCCACGCGUGGCGUUCCGAGAGUACCCGAAGAAAAAGCAUCGGCUAACUCCGUGCCAGCAGCCGCGGUAAUACGGAGGAUGCGAGCGUUAUCCGGAUUUAUUGGGCGUAAAGCGAGCGCAGGCGGUUGCUUAGGGCUGGUGUGAAAGCCUUCGGCUUAACCGAAG
RNAcentral lists this ribosomal RNA (288 nucleotides) under uncultured bacterium. RNAcentral's name for it is "partial 16S ribosomal RNA". It matches the Rfam family "Bacterial small subunit ribosomal RNA", at positions 333 to 618 of the family's 1533-position model. The record is from RNAcentral.